CAGUGCAUUCUGACCGCUGUUACAUCUUGAGCGCUGUUUUCAGGAAGCCAGUGAGAAUCUGGCGCGGUCGCGCCACUGUCACCGUAUGCCAUGCGGGAGCCAGACCCUGAACGCCGCAAAGUCCGUAAU
Molecule: non-coding RNA, 129 nt
Filed under: Hyphomicrobiales bacterium
Lineage: Bacteria; Pseudomonadati; Pseudomonadota; Alphaproteobacteria; Hyphomicrobiales
Source: RNAcentral